UGGAAAAUAAAAAUUCAGGACUUCCUCACAAAGAAUUAAGCCAUCUUGACAGCUAUGAAUUCCUUAAAGCCACUUUAAACCCAGGCACUUAGGAGAGAGGCGUCCGUGGCACGACUUGGGCGUGGCCUGAUCGCGCUUACGGGACAGAAGCGACCUCUGGAACUGCUGUGCGCCGUGAACCCCACCCAGCCCCUCGCGAGCACCAGGCAGGCGCGGGGCUAGAUGAAAGUGCUUGCAGCUAAUUUAGACUUUCUGCACACACCAGUGGAUAGUCUCAGUGUAAAUAGUACGUUUCUUCUUGACUGUUUAAUGUGAGUCAGCACAGAGUGGGGAACCCGGCUUCUGUGCUGUCGCAUACUUCCGCCGUUGUGGCGCAUGCGCAGCAGGAACAGCGCCCUCCAUUCCCUGGAACUCCGGUUCCACCCAGUGGUGAGGGGAGCUAGGUAAUGUUUUUCCACCGGUGUCCCAGCUGUGUAGUUUUUGAGAGAAGUUCUCUCUUGAAUCCAGGCUGGCUUCAAACCAAGUAGUAAUGAGCCCAGACUGCGUUGAACUUAACGGCGAUCUUCCUGCUGCA
Long non-coding RNA from Octodon degus (degu), 574 nucleotides. RefSeq lists it as uncharacterized. The transcript has 3 exons. Lineage: Eukaryota; Metazoa; Chordata; Mammalia; Rodentia; Octodontidae. The record is from RefSeq and is a predicted model, not a curated record.